GGUCGUUUAGCUCAGUGGUUAGAGCGUCUGCUUUACAUUUCCUACAAGAUUUGUGACACCGCAGAAGGUCGCAGGUUCGACCCCUGCAACGAUCA
This is a non-coding RNA of Coniochaeta pulveracea, 95 nucleotides long. The record is from the annotation of a GenBank genome assembly. Lineage: Eukaryota; Fungi; Ascomycota; Sordariomycetes; Coniochaetales; Coniochaetaceae.